GAUCAAGCGACUAAGUGCAUGUGGUGGAUGCCUUGGCGAUUACAGGCGAUGAAGGACGUGGCAGCCUGCGAAAAGCUGCGGUCAGCUGGCAACGAGCGUUAACAGCCGCAGAUGU
RNAcentral lists this ribosomal RNA (115 nucleotides) under uncultured beta proteobacterium. Its description in RNAcentral is "partial 23S ribosomal RNA". It matches the Rfam family "Bacterial large subunit ribosomal RNA", at positions 1 to 113 of the family's 2925-position model. Lineage: Bacteria; Pseudomonadati; Pseudomonadota; Betaproteobacteria. The record is from RNAcentral.